CCAAGGAGUCUAACAUGUGCGCGAGUCAUUGGGUCUUGCUCAGGCCCAAAGGCGCAAUGAAAGUGAAGGCCGGCUCGGUCGGCUGCGUUGGGAUCCCGCCCUUUUCUGGAGGGCGGGCGCACCAACGGCCCGUCCCAGUCGCUGCGUCGACGGGGCGGAGUGAGAGCGUACACGUUGGGACCCGAAAGAUGGUGAACUAUGCCUGGGCAGGACGAAGCCAGAGGAAACUCUGGUGGAGGUCCGCAGCGAUUCUGACGUGCAAAUCGAUCGUCAGACCUGGGUAUAGGGGCGAAAGACUAAUCGAACCAUCUA
RNAcentral lists this ribosomal RNA (312 nucleotides) under Stylocellus sp. Sumatra 6. Its description in RNAcentral is "eukaryotic LSU rRNA". It matches the Rfam family "Eukaryotic large subunit ribosomal RNA", at positions 666 to 946 of the family's 3401-position model. Lineage: Eukaryota; Metazoa; Arthropoda; Arachnida; Opiliones; Stylocellidae. The record is from RNAcentral.